CCAGACUCCUACGGGAGGCAGCAGUGGGGAAUAUUGCACAAUGGGGGAAACCCUGAUGCAGCAACGCCGCGUGAGUGAAGAAGUAUUUCGGUAUGUAAAGCUCUAUCAGCAGGGAAGAAGAUGACGGUACCUGAUUAAGAAGCCCCGGCUAACUACGUGCCAGCAGCCGCGGUAAUACGUAGGGGGCAAGCGUUAUCCGGAUUUACUGGGUGUAAAGGGAGCGCAGACGGCAGUGCAAGUCUGGAGUGAAAGCCCGGGGCCCAACCCCGGAACUGCUCUGGAAACUGUGCGGCUGGAGUGCGGGAGGGGCAGGCGGAAUUCCUGGUGUAGCGGUGAAAUGCGUAGAUAUCAGGAGGAACACCGGCGGCGAAGGCGGCCUGCUGGACCGCGACUGACGUUGAGGCUCGAAAGCGUGGGGAGCAAACAGGAUUAGAUACCCGAGUA
This 444-nucleotide ribosomal RNA is filed under the name uncultured bacterium. Its description in RNAcentral is "bacterial SSU rRNA". It matches the Rfam family "Bacterial small subunit ribosomal RNA", at positions 331 to 792 of the family's 1533-position model. The record is from RNAcentral.